CCUACGGGAGGCAGCAGUGGGGAAUAUUGCGCAAUGGGCGAAAGCCUGACGCAGCGACGCCGCGUGAGGGAUGAAGGUCUUCGGAUCGUAAACCUCUGUCAGCAGGGAAGAACGGUCACUGUGCUAAUCAGCAGUGAAUUGACGGUACCUGCAAAGGAAGCACCGGCUAACUCCGUGCCAGCAGCCGCGGUAAUACGGAGGGUGCGAGCGUUAAUCGGAAUUACUGGGCGUAAAGCGCUCGUAGGCGGUAUGUCAAGUCAAGGGUGAAAUCCCCGCGCUCAACGUGGGAACUGCCGUUGAAACUGGCAAACUGGGGUGUGUGAGAGAAUAGUGGAAUUCCGGGUGUAGGAGUGAAAUCCGUAGAUAUCUGGAGGAACAUCAGUGGCGAAGGCGACUAUCUGGCACAUAACUGACGCUGAGGAGCGAAAGCGUGGGUAGCAAACAGGAUUAGAUACCCGUGUAGU
Molecule: ribosomal RNA, 464 nt
Filed under: uncultured bacterium
Lineage: Bacteria
Description: partial 16S ribosomal RNA
Rfam family: Bacterial small subunit ribosomal RNA
Source: RNAcentral